UACGUAGGGUGCAAGCGUUGUCCGGAAUUAUUGGGCGUAAAGCGCGCGCAGGCGGUUCAUUAAGGCUGGUGGGAAAGCUCCCGGCUCACCUGGGAGAGGGCACUGGAGACUGGUGGACUGGAGCGAGGCAGAGGCCGGUGGAAUUCCCGGUGUAGUGGUGAAAUGCGUAGAGAUCGGGAGGAACACCAGUGGCGAAGGCGGCCGGCUGGGCCUUGACUGACGCUGAGGCGCGACAGCGUGGGGAGCGAACCGG
RNAcentral lists this ribosomal RNA (253 nucleotides) under uncultured bacterium. RNAcentral's name for it is "partial 16S ribosomal RNA". It matches the Rfam family "Bacterial small subunit ribosomal RNA", at positions 524 to 776 of the family's 1533-position model. The record is from RNAcentral.